RNAcentral lists this ribosomal RNA (497 nucleotides) under uncultured bacterium. RNAcentral describes it as "partial 16S ribosomal RNA". It matches the Rfam family "Bacterial small subunit ribosomal RNA", at positions 28 to 507 of the family's 1533-position model. The record is from RNAcentral.
GAUGAACGCUGGCGGCGUGCCUAAUACAUGCCAGUCGAGCGAACGGACGAGAAGCUUGCUUCUCUGAUGUUAGCGGCGGACGGGUGAGUAACACGUGGAUAACCUACCUAUAAGACUGGGAUAACUUCGGGAAACCGUAGCUAAUACCGGAUAAUAUUUUGAACCGCAUGGUUCAAAAGUGAAAGACGGUUUUGCUGUCACUUAUAGAUGGAUCCGCGCUGCAUUAGCUAGUUGGUAAGGUAACGGCUUACCAAGGCAACGAUGCAUAGCCGACCUGAGAGGGUGAUCGGCCACACGGGAACUGAGACACGGUCCAGACUCCUACGGGAGGCAGCAGUAGGGAAUCUUCCGCAAUGGGCGAAAGCCUGACGGAGCAACGCCGCGUGAGUGAUGAAGGUCUUCGGAUCGUAAAACUCUGUUAUUAGGGAAGAACAUAUGUGUAAGUAACUGUGCACAUCUUGACGGUACCUAAUCAGAAAGCCACGGCUAACUACGUG